CUGGUUGUAGAAACCAACGAGACCUGGAAAAACAGAUUGGUGCAAGAGGGAGAGGCAGAGAGAAGCCAGGAUUAGCUUCUUCCGCGUUUUCCACAGUGAAGAAAUGUUGAGGGCAUGUAAUACCUUUGCCAAAGGCUACUAGAGUGAGACAUGUGAAUGCAGUAGCAUCUGAGAGUGACAUUCUGCUGCUCACCUGGGGAAGUGCAUCCACAGAGCCCUACAGUGGUAACUCACCCAGUACCCAAACCUGAAUGUUGCUGUGGCUACAGAGAUCCUACAGACAAGUGC
Molecule: long non-coding RNA, 288 nt
Organism: Chiroxiphia lanceolata (lance-tailed manakin)
Lineage: Eukaryota; Metazoa; Chordata; Aves; Passeriformes; Pipridae
Exons: 3
Source: RefSeq, a predicted model, not a curated record